RNAcentral lists this ribosomal RNA (301 nucleotides) under uncultured bacterium. RNAcentral's name for it is "partial 16S ribosomal RNA". It matches the Rfam family "Bacterial small subunit ribosomal RNA", at positions 509 to 809 of the family's 1533-position model. The record is from RNAcentral.
CAGCAGCCACGGUAAUACGUAGGGUGCGAGCGUUAAUCGGAAUUACUGGGCGUAAAGCGUGCGCAGGCGGUUGUGUAAGACAGGUGUGAAAUCCCCGGGCUUAACCUGGGAACUGCGCUUGUGACUGCACAGCUAGAGUAUGGCAGAGGGGGGUGGAAUUCCACGUGUAGCAGUGAAAUGCGUAGAGAUGUGGAGGAACACCGAUGGCGAAGGCAGCCCCCUGGGCCAAUACUGACGCUUAUGCACGAAAGCGUGGGGAGCAAACAGGAUUAGAUACCCCGGUAGUCCCUGUCUCUUAUAA